ACUCAAAGGAAUUGACGGGGAUCCGCACAAGCGGUGGAGCGCGUGGUUUAAUUCGUUACUAAACGAAGAACCUUACCAAGGUUUGACAUCUACGGAAUUCUGGGGAAACUUAGAAGUGCCCGCAAGGGAGCCGUAAGACAGGUGUUGCAUGGCUGUCGUCAGUUCGUGUUGUGAGAUGUUGGGUUAAGUCCCUUAACGAGCGCAACCCUUACUGUAUGUUACAUUUCUUACAGGACUGCCACGCUAAAACGUGGAGGAAGGUAGGGAUGACGUCCAGUCCUCAUUGCCCUUAUACCUUGGGCUACACACACGCUACAAUGGACGAGACAAACGGUUGCGAAGCAGUAAUGCGAAGCUAAUCCGAAAAACUCGUUCUCAGUUCGGAUUGUCGGCUGAAACUCGCCGGCAUGAAGUUGGAAUCGCUAGUAACCGUGUGUCAGCAAGGCACGGUGAAUACGUUCUCGGAUCUUGUACACACCGCCCGU
RNAcentral lists this ribosomal RNA (485 nucleotides) under uncultured bacterium. Its description in RNAcentral is "partial 16S ribosomal RNA". It matches the Rfam family "Bacterial small subunit ribosomal RNA", at positions 899 to 1397 of the family's 1533-position model. The record is from RNAcentral.